Ziziphus jujuba (common jujube) is the source of this 255-nucleotide long non-coding RNA. RefSeq lists it as uncharacterized. NCBI's taxonomy places the organism in Eukaryota, Viridiplantae, Streptophyta, Magnoliopsida, Rosales, Rhamnaceae. The transcript is spliced from 2 exons. The record is from RefSeq and is a predicted model, not a curated record.
CUAGCUGUGCUUGGAAAUCUUUGCCCUGAAACUGUAGAGGAAGCUAAUGCUCUUGUGCCUUCUCUAAAGACGAAAGGACGAAGCCAUGACGAUGAAGCAAUAGAGAAAUUGUUGAAUGACCUACUAAUGGUAAAGAAAUUUGAGUGAGUUUCUCAGAGUUUUCUUUUACUUCAAAAUGAAUAAAACAUAUCUAGUUGUGGUAGACUAUAUAUCUUUUGCCUUACUCCAUUGCCAAUAAGAUGCUAAUGUUGAACA